UUAGUAGACAGAAGCUUCGGUGGAAGAUUACUAAUGAGAGUGGCGAACGGGUGAGUAACGCGUGAGCAACCUGCCUAUGACAGUGGGAUAGCCUCGGGAAACCGGGAUUAAUACCGCAUAAAAUCGUAGAAACACAUGUUUUAGCGGUCAAAGAUUUAUCGGUCAUAGAUGGGCUCGCGUCUGAUUAGCUAGUUGGUGAGAUAACAGCCCACCAAGGCGACGAUCAGUAGCCGGUCUGAGAGGAUGAACGGCCACAUUGGAACUGAGACACGGUCCAAGCUCCUACGGGAGGCAGCAGUGGGGAAUAUUGCACAAUGGGGGAAACCCUGAUGCAGCGACGCCGCGUGAACGAAGAAGGUAUUCGUAUCGUAAAGUUCUGUCCUAUGGGAAGAUAAUGACAGUACCAUAGAAGAAAGCUCCGGCUAAAUACGUGCCAGCAGCCGCGGUAAUACGUAUGGAGCGAGCGUUGUCCGGAAUUAUUGGGCGUAAAGGGUACGCAGGCGGUUUAAUAAGUCGAAUGUUAAAGAUCGGGGCUCAACCCCGUAAAGCAUUGGAAACUGAUAAACUUGAGUAGUGGAGAGGAAAGUGGAAUUCCUAGUGUAGUGGUGAAAUACGUAGAUAUUAGGAGGAAUACCAGUAGCGAAGGCGACUUUCUGGACACAAACUGACGCUGAGGUACGAAAGCGUGGGGAG
Molecule: ribosomal RNA, 693 nt
Filed under: uncultured Eubacteriales bacterium
Lineage: Bacteria; Bacillati; Bacillota; Clostridia; Eubacteriales
Description: bacterial SSU rRNA
Rfam family: Bacterial small subunit ribosomal RNA
Source: RNAcentral